Molecule: ribosomal RNA, 460 nt
Filed under: uncultured bacterium
Lineage: Bacteria
Description: bacterial SSU rRNA
Rfam family: Bacterial small subunit ribosomal RNA
Source: RNAcentral
ACUCCUACGGGAGGCAGCAGUGGGGAAUAUUGCACAAUGGGCGCAAGCCUGAUGCAGCCAUGCCGCGUGUGUGAAGAAGGCCUUCGGGUUGUAAAGCACUUUCAGUCGUGAGGAAGGUAGUGUAGUUAAUAGCUGCAUUAUUUGACGUUAGCGACAGAAGAAGCACCGGCUAACUCCGUGCCAGCAGCCGCGGUAAUACGGAGGGUGCGAGCGUUAAUCGGAAUUACUGGGCGUAAAGCGCAUGCAGGUGGUUUGUUAAGUCAGAUGUGAAAGCCCGGGGCUCAACCUCGGAAUAGCAUUUGAAACUGGCAGACUAGAGUACUGUAGAGGGGGUAGAAUUUCAGGUGUAGCGGUGAAAUGCGUAGAGAUCUGAAGGAAUACCGGUGGCGAAGGCGGCCCCUGGACAGAUACUGACACUCAGAUGCGAAAGCGUGGGAGCAAACAGGAUUAGAUACCCCGU